CAGAGGGUGCAAGCGUUAAUCGGAAUUAUUGGGCGUAAAGGGCUUGUAGGUGGUUAUAUAAGUUAGAUGUGAAACCCUGGGCUCAACCUGGGACGUGCAUUUAAUACUGUAUGACUAGAGUAUGGUAGAGGAAGGGGAAUUCCUGGUGUAGCAGUGAAAUGCGUAGAGAUCAGGAGGAACAUCGGUGGCGAAGGCGCCUUUCUGGACUAAUACUGACACUGAGGAGCGAAGGCGUGGGGGAGCAAACAGGAUU
RNAcentral lists this ribosomal RNA (253 nucleotides) under uncultured bacterium. RNAcentral's name for it is "partial 16S ribosomal RNA". It matches the Rfam family "Bacterial small subunit ribosomal RNA", at positions 526 to 779 of the family's 1533-position model. The record is from RNAcentral.